RNAcentral lists this ribosomal RNA (112 nucleotides) under Aeromonas media. Lineage: Bacteria; Pseudomonadati; Pseudomonadota; Gammaproteobacteria; Aeromonadales; Aeromonadaceae. The record is from RNAcentral. RNAcentral also lists the same sequence under 1 other name.
CCUGGCGGCCAUAGCGCCGUGGAACCACCUGAUCCCAUGCCGAACUCAGAAGUGAAACGCGGUAGCGCCGAUGGUAGUGUGGCAUUCGCCAUGCGAGAGUAGGACACUGCCA